This 397-nucleotide small RNA is filed under the name Pan troglodytes (chimpanzee). Its description in RNAcentral is "processed transcript". Lineage: Eukaryota; Metazoa; Chordata; Mammalia; Primates; Hominidae. The record is from RNAcentral.
UCUGUUGCAGGGGUCACCGGCCAAGGAGGCGGUCUACCCUGUGGGUCCUCCCCGCUGCAGGGCACACAGAGUGGCUCCCGUGGGGCUGAGCACGAGGCAGUGGCUCCUGACCCUCCUACAGCAUCAGCACUGCCCCUGCCGGCCGCUGCCGGGAGUCCAGGACCGGGCGGACAGGAGAAGCCCCACCUUUGGCUCAGCACAAAGCCCACAGCACAGCCCCGGUGCACAGACGCGGUCACAUGCACGCCCGUCCACACACACCCAGAGAUGGCUACAGGGCUAGUGGAUUUUUCCCCAGACUGGGCACCCAGGAUUUUUUAACUCUCAAGCAAUUCAUCACUGUUACCAUUUAAGUAUUUCUGCCAGUUUAUUAAAAGUUAUAGAAUCCUUUAGUAAA